Long non-coding RNA from Silurus meridionalis, 1194 nucleotides. RefSeq lists it as uncharacterized. The record is from RefSeq and is a predicted model, not a curated record. NCBI's taxonomy places the organism in Eukaryota, Metazoa, Chordata, Actinopteri, Siluriformes, Siluridae. The transcript has 3 exons.
GUGUGAUUCUUCCCUGAUAUCAGAAAGGCUUACGGGCAUCGCAGGUCGUAUGGAAAACCUCUCCAAGAAUUAGGUUUUGUUUGGGCAUGAUAAAAAUCUAACAAUUUUGGUGUCAGAAGUGGGAUACUUUCAGCAAUAUCCGAAGGGAGAUCAAGCAUCAAGGUAAGUUUUAGGAUAUUUCCAAAAGGGCUGCAUGUGUGUUCGUGUCUUGGUUAUGCAUUAAUUGUUUAAUUAAUGAUAAUUUCCUUUGGUGGGAUGAUUUCUUCGCGACAUUGUUUUCCUCACCUUAGAUGUAAGAUGCAAGAUUAGAAGACAUUUUUUACAGUCUGUCUAAUAUAGGCGAUAUUGUCUGAAGUAUCCAAAAGAUUCCACGAUAAUUUUUAUAUGCCCAAAAAAAAUAGAUAAAAUGAAAAAUUAAUUGUUUAAAAAAAAGGAGAGAAAAGAGAAAAGGAACUAAAGAAAAACGGAAAUUUUGAAAACACUUCAAAAUUUUUCAAAAGAAUUCAAUCUUGUUUAGGCUUUAUAGUCAAUUUUUUUCUCCUAACUUACAAAAUUUGUGAUUCAAUUGGAAAAACUGGAUUACUUUUUUGUUUGAAGACUGCGAUAGUGUUGUGUGUAUUGUCUGUGUCUUUUCCUUCUGUCCUCAUGCUCUCAACCGAGCCACAGCCACAUCCGGAAGAUUUUUUCCACGGUGGUACAGAGGUCCUGCCUAAUGAACCAAAUUUAGGUGACGUUAACCCUAAAUUAUGGGCCUCUCACGAAGAUGAGGCAGGUUUAAUCCAGUGUCCCUUUGGCCUCAGAGACGCAGCCGCUUUUCAUGUUUACCUUUAGGGGAUGUCAAUUCACCUGGACCCGUCUUCCUCAGGGCUUUGUUGACUCUCCAGCCAUAUUCUCCGCUGUAGUGCACAGAAGUUUGGCUGAUUUACACCUUCCAGAAACAACCUGCAUUCUUCAAUAUGCAGAUGACAUCCUUGUCACAGGACUGACUGAGCAGGACUGCCACAAAGCGUCAGUGGUCUUCUGCAAUGUCCUGGCUCAGGCUGGAUUUGCGUGCAGUAGCUGCUGCGGCUUUGAUGGGAUGCUGAGAAAACGGUGCUGUCACAUCCUUUGAUACUGAACACCUCACAUCAGAUAAGCCAACACACCCUUUUGUGCCUAAUCAGCAGGUCCUGAUACGAAGUUUGAAGCCUACCA